This 334-nucleotide long non-coding RNA is filed under the name Lathyrus oleraceus (garden pea). RNAcentral's name for it is "Pisum sativum (pea) long non-coding RNA (PSAT_LNC035387)". Lineage: Eukaryota; Viridiplantae; Streptophyta; Magnoliopsida; Fabales; Fabaceae. The record is from RNAcentral.
AACAACACACAUAACAUAAAACGUUUUCACCAAAAAAAAAAACUCCAACACACCAUAACUUACUCUCAUCACCAUCAUCCAAGAUAAUACACAACCAUUUUUUCACUCUUCUUUCUCCAGACAACCGAACUCUCUACAAUAAAAACAAACUUCAUAACUCUUCAUCUCUUCUCCCUCUUUCCCACAUAAACCAACAUCAUCACCAAACACUUUUCUUCUUCAAACUCCCUCCUUCCCACACAAACCAACAUCAUCAUCAAACAUUUUUCUUCUCCACUCUUCAUCACUCACCAUAACUUACAUAUUCUUUAUACACUCCAUUAACACAACAACC